Molecule: ribosomal RNA, 253 nt
Filed under: uncultured bacterium
Lineage: Bacteria
Description: partial 16S ribosomal RNA
Rfam family: Bacterial small subunit ribosomal RNA
Source: RNAcentral
UACAGAGGUCUCGAGCGUUAGGCGGAAUCACUGGGCUUAAAGCGUGUGUAGGCGGGUCGUUAAGGACCUUGUGAAAUCCCAUGGCUCAACCAUGGAACUGCUGGGUAUACUGGCGAUCUUGUGCAACCUAGGGGCGAGCGGAACAGAUGGUGGAGCGGUGAAAUGCGUAGAUAUCAUCUGGAACGCCAAUGGUGAAAACAGCUCGCUGGGGGUUUGCAGACGCUGAGACACGAAAGCCAGGGGAGCGAACGGG